CGUGUAGGCGGUCCGGUAAGUCCGCUGUGAAAGUCGGGGGCUCAACCCUCGAAUGCCGGUGGAUACUGUCGGGCUAGAGUGCGGAAGGGGCGAGUGGAAUUCCUGGUGUAGCGGUGAAAUGCGCAGAUAUCAGGAGGAACACCAAUUGCGAAGGCAGCUCGCUGGGACGUUACUGACGCUGAGACGCGGAAGCGUGGGGAGCAAACA
Molecule: ribosomal RNA, 207 nt
Filed under: uncultured bacterium
Lineage: Bacteria
Description: partial 16S ribosomal RNA
Rfam family: Bacterial small subunit ribosomal RNA
Source: RNAcentral